AUGAAGCUCUUCGGGGUGUAAACCACUGUUGCCCGGGACGAAACUCCUUUUUCGAGAGGAUUGACGGUACCGGGUGAGGAAGCACCGGCUAACUCUGUGC
RNAcentral lists this ribosomal RNA (100 nucleotides) under uncultured bacterium. RNAcentral's name for it is "partial 16S ribosomal RNA". It matches the Rfam family "Bacterial small subunit ribosomal RNA", at positions 408 to 508 of the family's 1533-position model. The record is from RNAcentral.